CGACACGACCGUACCGCAAACCGACACUGGUGCGCGAGAUGAGUAUUCUAAGGCGCUUGAGAGAACUCAGGAGAAGGAACUCGGCAAAUUGACACCGUAACUUCGGAAGAAGGUGUGCCUUUAGUAGGUGAACCUGUACAAGGGGAGCCCAAUGAGGUUGCAAAAAAUCGGUGGCUGCGACUGUUUAAUAAAAACACAGCACUCUGCAAACACGAAAGUGGACGUAUAGGGUGUGACGCCUGCCCGGUGCUGGAAGAUUAAAUGAUGGGGUGCAAGCUCUUGAUUGAAGUCCCAGUAAACGGCGGCCGUAACAAUAACGGUCCUAAGGUAGCGAAAUUCCUUGUCGGGUAAGUUCCGACCUGCACGAAUGGCGUAACGAUGGCCACACUGUCUCCUCCUGAGACUCAGCGAAGUUGAAAUGUUUGUGAUGAUGCAAUCUCCCCGCGGAAAGACGGAAAGACCCCAUGAACCUUUACUGUAGCUUUGUAUUGGACUUUGAACAGAUCUGUGUAGGAUAGGUGGGAGGCUUUGAAGUGUGGUCGCUAGAUCGCAUGGAGCCAACGUUGAAAUACCACCCUGGUGUGUUUGAGGUUCUAACCUAGGCCCGUAAUCCGGGUCGGGGACAGUGCAUGGUAGGCAGUUUGACUGGGGCGGUCUCCUCCCAAAGCGUAACGGAGGAGUUCGAAGGUACGCUAGGUACGGUCGGACAUCGUGCUAAUAGUGCAAUGGCAUAAGCGUGCUUAACUGCGAGACUGACAAGUCGAGCAGAUGCGAAAGCAGGACAUAGUGAUCCGGUGGUUCUGUAUGGAAGGGCCAUCGCUCAACGGAUAAAAGGUACUCUGGGGAUAACAGGCUGAUACCGCCCAAGAGUUCAUAUCGACGGCGGUGUUUGGCACCUCGAUGUCGGCUCAUCUCAUCCUGGGGCUGUAGCCGGUCCCAAGGGUAUGGCUGUUCGCCAUUUAAAGAGGUACGUGAGCUGGGUUUAAAACGUCGUGAGACAGUUUGGUCCCUAUCUUCCGUGGGCGCUGCAGAUUUGAGGAAGCCUGCUCCUAGUACGAGAGGACCGGAGUGGACACACCUCUGGUGUAUCGGUUGUCACGCCAGUGGCAUUGCCGAGUAGCUAUGUGUGGAAGAGAUAACCGCUGAAAGCAUCUAAGCGGGAAACUCGUUUCAAGAUGAGAUCUGCCGGGGCCUUGAGCCCCCUAAAGAGUCGUUCAAGACCAGGACGUUGAUAGGUCGGGUGUGGAAGCGCAGUAAUGCGUUAAGCUAACCGAUACUAAUUGCUCGUGCGGCUUGACCCU
RNAcentral lists this ribosomal RNA (1301 nucleotides) under metagenome. RNAcentral's name for it is "bacterial LSU rRNA". It matches the Rfam family "Bacterial large subunit ribosomal RNA", at positions 1634 to 2925 of the family's 2925-position model. The record is from RNAcentral.